This 65-nucleotide transfer RNA is filed under the name Ilyocoris cimicoides. RNAcentral describes it as "tRNA-Glu". It matches the Rfam family "tRNA". From Rfam's summary of the family: Transfer RNA (tRNA) molecules are approximately 80 nucleotides in length. Their secondary structure includes four short double-helical elements and three loops (D, anti-codon, and T loops). The record is from RNAcentral. Lineage: Eukaryota; Metazoa; Arthropoda; Insecta; Hemiptera; Naucoridae.
AUUUAUAUAGUUUAAUAAAAGACAUUUCAUUUUCAAUGAAAAAAUGAGAGAUAUCUCUAUAAAUA